AUUGAACGCUGGCGGCAGGCCUAACACAUGCGAGUCGAACGGUAACAGGAAGCAGCUUGCUGCUUCGCUGACGAGUGGCGGACGGGUGAGUAAUGUCUGGGAAGCUGCCUGAUGGAGGGGGAUAACUACUGGAAACGGUAGCUAAUACCGCAUAAUGUCGCAAGUCCAAAGAGGGGGACCUUCGGGCCUCUUGCCAUCGGAUGUGCCCAGAUGGGGUCCGCUUGUUGGUGGGGUAACGGCUCACCAAGGCGACGAUCCCUAGCUGGUCUGAGAGGAUGACCAGCCGCUCGGGAACGGGGACGCGGUCCAAACUCCUACGGGAGACACGGCUGGGAAUUCUUGCGGAAGGGGCGCAAGCCUGUUGCAGCCAAGCCGCGUGUGUGAAGAGGGCCUUCGGGUUGUAAAGUACUUUCGGCGGAGAGGAAGAAAAUAAUGUUAAUACCUUUGAUCAUUGCCGUUACCCGAGGAGGAGGCACCGGCUACCUCGUU
This 489-nucleotide ribosomal RNA is filed under the name uncultured bacterium. RNAcentral's name for it is "partial 16S ribosomal RNA". It matches the Rfam family "Bacterial small subunit ribosomal RNA", at positions 30 to 506 of the family's 1533-position model. The record is from RNAcentral.